GCCAGCAGCCAUAUCACCCUGUAACUCACAACUGGCAACCCACUGAAGCUAAGCAGUAUGAGCAGGUGUGAGCCUGGUCAGUACCUGGAUGAGAGACCUCCUAGGAAAAACUAAGGUUGCUGCUGGAA
RNAcentral lists this ribosomal RNA (128 nucleotides) under Lepisosteus oculatus (spotted gar). Lineage: Eukaryota; Metazoa; Chordata; Actinopteri; Semionotiformes; Lepisosteidae. The record is from RNAcentral.